AUAGUGCUGCUAUAAACAUUGGAGUGCAUGUGCCCCUCCAAAUCAGCAUUUUUGUAUCCUUUGAAUAAAUACCUUGUAGUGCAAUUGCUGGGUCAUAGGGAAGAAAAAAUUUUAAACUUUUAACUGGGACCAGUCCUAAACUAUCCACCACCAGGAGGACUUAAUCCUUCAAAGAGUUAAAACUAAUAUGAGGAACACUAUAAAAACUGACUAGGAUAUAGACAUGCAGAAUUGCACUUUUGGGUGUGGAGACUCUUAGGAACCUUAUCUACUGGGGCUAGAGCAUCCAGCAUUCCUGUCGUUUUGAACUAAGUUGUUUUCUGUGAACAUUUCCAGUGUUAUAAAAGAUAGUAUGUAGGAUCUCAUGUAUUGGACACAAUUGAGUCUUAUUCUGCCAUAUUUGUGUUUAAUUCAUGACUUUUUAAUUGGAUUUACUGGUAUUAUUUCUCAAAUAGUGACAAGAGUUUUUUGUCUCAAGCAAAUUUAUUUAGUUACAUCUUUCUAGGUUAGUAGUUCUCUGCCAAGAAAAUACGGCAAAAUCAUUUGAUAGCUUUUGCAAAAUACACACACUCAGACCUUCCCCUUCUGAAUAACAAUUGCAAAACGGAUGGGGCAAGAGGUAGUGCAGGUAUGUGGUGUUAGAAGAAGCUAUCCUGAUAAUUCCAUUGCCAGCUUCUCAUUUUGAAAAUUGCUGUUCUAAUGGAACCAAUACUGUUCAAUUACCAGAAAACAAGCAAAGAGUUUAACAUUGGAUCUCACUUAAACUUGGCAAAAUUGUUCAGUAUCUUGUUGGAAUAAAUCCACUUUACCUUCCAUGUAGAUUUCAUCUAGCUAGUGUCUUGCUAAAAAGGAAGUCUAUGUAUACAGGCAGUGAAAUAUACUGUGUUGAUGCUUGUUAAAUACCCUUCCAUUUAUGUACACUUGUAACUGAAAUUUUAUUGUCUUCCAUGCUCUGGAGGAUUUUUUGUAUUUAUUCAUAAGAGUUCUGAGCAAAAGGCUGGAUUUUCAAAGUUGUGCUAAGGUUUAAUAUCUGUUUAACAUGUUCAUUGAAUUGUUAUUUGAGGUUAUUUGCCUAAUAUGUACUAGUCACCAUUUUUAGUUUGUAGGUUAAAAUUAUUUAAAAGUGGUAAAAUUCCAAGAGAAGUACGGGCUCUGUCACUUUGAGAAAAAUUUAUGAAGUAAAAAUAUUUUCUUUUGGUACACAGUUACUGUUAUACAAUGUCUUCACAGGGUGUAAAGACUUGGUAUUUAUCUGUUUUAAUUACAGAGUACAGAGUAUGGUGCCAGAGUACGGUUAGUAUUUGUGACUGACUUAAAAGAAGUGAGUGUCUUGGUGAGAAGUUCACAAGGUUGGUAGCUAUAGCUGAGUUUGGUGAACUGACUAGAGCUCCAGUCAGCGAUGGUAUAUGUGAAUGCCAAGUACUAAGAAUUUCAGGAAUGUAGAAUUGCACAGCACUGAUAAAGUUUGCUUUGUUCCCCUAUGUGACUUGACCCAUUGAGAAAACGUGGUUCCCUAGGAAGUUUUAAUAGUUCAAAGUCCUUAGUUAAUAAAGAAAAAGGGCUCAACAUAAUUCAGCUUGUUUUCACCUGCUGCCUCAAAGAUUAACUUUCUUAACCUUAAUGGGAUAGAGUUACCCUUUGCUUUGAGAAAGUAAUUUAUGGAGCUCUUCACAUUUGUUAGUUUCAGUAAACAUGACACUGUUUGUGUGGAUUUUGUUUUGGUUUUGGGUUUGGUGUCCCAAACUACUAACACUUUUGCAACCUGAGAAUCUUAUGGUAACUUCUUCUAAAAAAUCUCAGGGAAAGGCACACCCACUGUUCUGUAUUAACUUAAUCUUUCACUAGACUAGGAAGCGUUUCGAAUUCCUUCAGGAGAGUAGUGACCGAUAGAGUUUAACCUUCAGUUUUCCUCAUUUAUUUUCAUAAGAGAAUGGGAGUGGAAUUCAAAACAUUCAAAUUUGGAGUUAAUGUGCGUCACUCUGUUGCGAGUGAUAGGUUCUGUGUUUUUCCAGUGGGAAACUUUGAUCCACAAACUGAUCUAUGCCUGUUAUAGACCUCAUUAUUACUUUCUGCUUUUCUUCUGAUUGUUGCAUACUCUUUCAAAAACCAGCUGACUAUACAAGUUGUCUCUGGGAGCAGAUUUCAGAGCAAGAGUGGUAUAUAAAAGCACAGACUGAACUACAUUUCUGAAUUUUGGAUUUGGUGUUUUUCAGCUAAGGAGUUAAACUCUUGCAAAGAAUAAAUGUUGAUGAUACAUACCAGUGAAGGAAAAUGUAUGUAAAUAAAUGUCUCAUGCCAUAAAAGAGUAGUACUUGCAGUCAAGAUUCCCACAGUAGAAAUACAUUUAUUUGCAGGAUGUGUGAUGUUAAUGAAUAGAAACUAUUGUCCUGCUUAAAUGAUUUAUUUGCACUGAGUGUUAAGUAUGUUGAAAUGAGUGCGAGAAUUGGUAAAAGUUAUAAAUUCAAAUAUUCAGCUUAGAGGAUUGAUGUUUUAUACAUAAUACAUCUUUCCAAGUGCCUAUUAAGGAAAUUAUUUUGCUCAAUUUCUUACUCUUUGUUAUGUUAGAUUAAAAUUAUUUUUGGAAUUACAAUCUUUCAACUAUGGAAUGCCCAUCUGGAAAAUCUAAUUUUGAAACAUUUAUUCUUUUUCAUAUGCUUUCAGUAGCUUUCAUGGCCAUAUAAGAUAUAUAGUUUUCUUUUUCUAAUUUUCAUUCUACUCUCUUACCCAAGUAAAUAUGUAUUUUGCUUAAAAUAAGUUCUGACAGUCAAGCAUUGAAUAAGAAAUUAGGAAAUUUGCACACUGUUCAUGGGAAGAAUAAUGUUCAGCUGUAUCUUGAACCAAUCAUCUAAUCUUCCUAUAGUUUUGGGGCUGAUUCUCUUGAUUUCUUGAAACUUAUUCCUAAAUCUCUGAGUAGUUAAAAUGAAUCAUCAUGAAUUAUUAGAAAUUCUAAAAAUGUAAGGCUAAUCAAUUUAAUCUAAUCUAUUAAAUCUAUUAAAUUAACAUAAUAGCAAUUUACUAUAUAUAUGUAUGUGUGUGUAUGUGUGUGUGUAUAUAUAUAUAUAUAUAUAUAUGUAUAUAUAUAUAUAUAUAUAUUGUAUAGAGAAGAAUCCAUUCAGGUGGUUGUUACAAAUUCAGUGUGUGUGAGUGUAUAUGAUAUGCUAAUAGCUAAUUAAAACAAGGUUUAAAAUCGCUUUCAGUUUCUCACCUGAGUUAACACCAGGACUAGUAGUAGGAAAAGUUAUGGUUAUGUUAAGGGUUAGAAAACAAGCUCCCAGGAGGCCGAUGAGCAGUCCAUGCCCUGAAUCUUGGAUGAGGUAGCUCACUUUUCCUGAAAAAGUAUAAAACUCCUAGGGUUGACUCACACUUAACACUACUAAUUAUUUUUAAGUUAGGGAAGAAUAGGAGAAUACCCAUGAAAACAGAAGGAUUUUUUUCUUAUGAAGAGCGAUUAAUCUGUAUCUUAAAUUAAGGUAUUACGUAAGGGCUACUGUGCAUAAAUGCUGUACUGCCCCUCUUUUGGAUCCUCUUCUGAAGGAGGUCUUUAUGAUUCGGCUCAUGCCCCAUCUUCUGCUGUCCCCAGCUUUUAAAGCUGAAGCCACAUCGGAGUUCUGCAAACAACCUUGCUCUAUUCCUUUGCAUUCCAAGCCUUUGCCUCAGCUCUUGCCUCUGCAUAGAUUGAAUACUCUUUUUUUCCUCACGUGUACCCCAAAACACAUACAGCCACACACACAUAUGUGCAUGCACACUCCUACUUUAGGUAUCAUACUUCAUGUCAUUUCUUCAGGGGAAGUCAUUCCUUUCUCUUCAGGCCAUGGGCUCCUUCUUUGUCCUGAGAUAGGAAUCAUAAGAAGCAGUUCAUCUUGUGAGAUUCUGAGGGGAGAUGUAUUUCAAGCAGAGGGAACAAACAGUAAGUGCAAAGGAACAGAAGUUGGAUCAGGCAAAAAUUAUAAAGUAUUCUGGUUUGGAGUGAGUAAGAUAAGGUCAGAGAAGUAAAUAAAGGACAGACAUUGUAGGGCCUUGUAGGCCAUCUUGAUGAGUUUGAAUUUUACUGAUAAGCAUCAGAUUAGUACUUGUUACUGUGAAAAGUUCUCUGAAUUUUGGAUUCAGUUUAACUAAAUGAUAGGACCUCAAUCAUGACCGACCCUAUCAGAAUGUGGCUAAUAUAACUGCUUGCUUCAAUAAAUAUUGAAUACUUAUUUGUAUAAAUAAUCAUGAAUGUUAGGGGCUUAAGGAUACAAAGUUGAAAAGGACUUGAUUCCUGUGAUUGCUAAUAAGAGUGGGAUGAGAUAAUGUCAUGUGGACCAGAAACCCAAGAUUAUGUAAAUUCUACCUGAGAUUAGCUGCCCCUUACUGAAAAGAUCUCACAGGAAAUACAUGCUAAAAGAAAAAAACAAACAAUAAUGUCACCAAGUAGAGCAUCAUCUUCGGCCCCAGUAUGGAAUACAAAUGAACCAGGCUACACUGGGGAAUCAUUUAUUUCACAUUCCUUUAGCCUAGAGCACUCAUAUCAAGCAGUUCUAUUUAUGAGAGCUCUUGAGUAACAGAGAGUGUCUGAGAUGAUGAAAGAGAAAAAUAGGGACCCAUCCCAGAGCAUACCUUACCACUUACUCUUAGGAGGAAAAACAGCCAUGAGGGAGUUUGUCCAAAUGGGAUAAAGACAAUGCCAUGCCAUCGUGAACCUUCAGCUGAGCCCAAGAAAGUAUCAGCAACAUUCCUCCUGUUUGUGUAUGUAUCUGAGGUAGGAGCAGGGGAGGAAGAAGGAGGAGGGCAUGAAAGGGUACUAAUAUGCACCUCUACUCUCCCCUCAAGCAAUUUUUACUUAGGUGGAGUUGGUGAAAUACACGUGACAUUAGUAAUAGCGGUGCAUCGUGUCCUAAGUAGUGGUAAUAAUAGCGAAGUACUGGCUGACAUUUAUUGAGGGUGUGCUAUUGCCAGGCAUUGUUCUAGAUGCUUUGUAUUAACUCACAGUUUAGUCCUCACAAAAGCCCCAUGAAGGCGGGUGCUAUCAUAAUUUUAUAGAUAAAAAAACUAAAGCACAGACAAAGUGAUUUGCUCAGGGUCAUUUAGUAAGUGGCAGAGAACCUAAAAUAAAAAAUAAGAAGUGAUGAUGGAUUGUGGAAAGCAUUUGAGGUAUACUUUCCUCAAGUUGAGGACGUGAGGAAGUACAAGGGAGAGCGAUGUUUGAGCGCAGGGAGCGUGCAUGCCAGGAAGGUGCCUGGGCUGGCCAGAUUGCUGCCUGAUUGGCCCCCUUCGCAGGUCAUGGGGAACCAGGAAGCCAUGCAGUCAGAAACUGCUGGAAUAUUGUGGAAGUUUUGAAUAUGUGGCACAAAAAUAUCUCUUUAAGCUUAUGGCAAGCUACACUUUUAAAUCGUGUUGAAUUAUAGGAUAAAGUUAUUAUGCAGAAAUGUUUUGUUUCCCUUGAAAGCUA
Molecule: long non-coding RNA, 5428 nt
Organism: Felis catus (domestic cat)
Lineage: Eukaryota; Metazoa; Chordata; Mammalia; Carnivora; Felidae
Exons: 2
Source: RefSeq, a predicted model, not a curated record